Molecule: ribosomal RNA, 382 nt
Filed under: uncultured marine Chaetocerotaceae
Lineage: Eukaryota; Bacillariophyta; Thalassiosirophyceae; Chaetocerotales; Chaetocerotaceae
Description: SSU rRNA
Rfam family: Eukaryotic small subunit ribosomal RNA
Source: RNAcentral
AGCUCCAAUAGCGUAUAUUAAAGUUGUUGCAGUUUAAAAGCUCGUAGUUGGGUUUCUGGUGUGAGGGAACGGUCCGACCUCUGGUGGGUACUUGCUUCCUCUCACGCCAUCCUUGAGUGGUGCGUUCUGGCAUUCAGUUGUCGGGACGUUAGCCGCUCAUCGUUUACUGUGAGAAAAUUAGAGUGUUCAAAGCAGGCUUAUGCCGUUGAAUAUAUUAGCAUGGAAUAAUAAGAUAGGACUUCGGUACUAUUUUGUUGGUUUGCGCACCGAUGUAAUGAUCAAUAGGGACAGUUGGGGGUAUUCGUAUUCAGUUGUCAGAGGUGAAAUUCUUAGAUUUACGGAAGACGAACUACUGCGAAAGCAUUUACCAAGGAUGUUUUCA